Molecule: long non-coding RNA, 3629 nt
Filed under: Hordeum vulgare
Lineage: Eukaryota; Viridiplantae; Streptophyta; Magnoliopsida; Poales; Poaceae
Description: long non-coding RNA (HVUL_LNC004182)
Source: RNAcentral
UGCAAGUCAAUGGGGUUUACUAGGGUAGUGGUCUCAAAGUUGCAGGUUGCUAGGGUUCAGGCAAGGACUUACUAUACACGGUAGGGAGUCUUUUGUCGCAGGCUAAGGAAUGCGACAACUCCGGUGUCGGUCAUAGACACACACCUUAAGGGCUAGGUUGACAGGUCAGGCACCGACUGCCAAAAGGUGUCGGAUGGCCACUGUGGUUGGCUAUUGGUUAGGCUAAGCUGGGUUGUGGAUAUAUAAAUAUCCGGGUAGGGAUAGCGACCUAGCUAAGAUAGGUUUAGCCAAUGGUCAGCCUGAUUCUGAUACCAAGGUUGUAGCGACCGGUUUUUCAAAAAAAUCCAGAAAACAGGGCUUUGUGUUCACCAGCCCCAUGACUAUUGUUAGCUGGUAGACACUUACUUGAUAUAGAAUAUCCAAGCAAAAAUACAAAAUCUAGGUUACAAGAUCAUAAAGGUCUAUUGGUUUGGACAAGGUCAGAGGCUGACGACGGGAGCGACUCGAGGAUUCUCCAGUGCCUAGGGGACUCCAUUCCCACAAGAACAGCUGACCUGGAUAAAUUCCUAUCUCACAAGGCUGAUAUCCUGGACUCCUAGCUUCUAGGGUUGACUGCAUCGUGCUCCUCUCCGUACGCAAUCUGGCCAACACAAUAGUCAGGGACAACCUAGCGAGUACUUUGAAUGUACUAGCAAACAUCAAGAAAACAAAUAAGUUAAAGUAGGUGAGAUGCAUGCAUAAUCCCCUUAAUAACUCUACCAUGCCAUUAGAUUUAUUUCAUGGAUGCAUUCAUGCAGAUAAGCAAUUUCCAGCAAUGUUGUAUGAACAAGUAAUAACAUGUGUGCCGUAGUCAGGCGUCGGAGCGACACCGCCUAAAGGGCUCACAUGUAAGUAAUAACAGUUCCCACAAUCGGGCAUCUAAGCAACACCACAGAAAGGGCUUAUAAGAAAUAAUAACAAUCACACUGCAGUAGGGCGUCUAAGCGACACCACAAGAAGGACUUAUAAGAAACAACAAUACAUAUUGAACAUCCAGGAGGUAGAACUGUCCUAGGGAUAUUCAACAAACAUAAUCAUAGGGGUUAAUCCACAGUAAUAAUAAUAAUAUGAUCAUCCACCAUAUUUCAUGUUUAGUCUCACGACUUCUUUAGCUUCCUCCGCAGACCGACACUCAGGCCGACACUUGACUAGUCAACCAGUCAUCCUUGACCGUGGACACGGGUACUCGAAUAGUUUUGACUCUGCAGAGAGUGUACUCUUUACCCACAACCCAUGGGUUUCAAUAGUCACUCGGACUAAUCUCGCGUACGGUAUUUUAGAAGUAAAUUCUCAAAACCAGUACGCACACAUUUUUCCCCUGUGAAGACCGACAUCACUCGAGCUACGCUGCCAGAGAAAAACCUUAAGACGGGGAGGCUCCAACCUCGACUAGCAUGGGAUCAAAUUUAUAAUGUGCGCUACAAGGGAAUGGCCAUUCCCUCUUGGUCCCAGACCGGAAACACCCAUGCCCGCUGAGCGGAUGACUGGAUUUAGUCCAGGGCCAUGGAUACCUUCAUCCCAGACACUCUAUUUGGUGUGUACCUGGUAAUAGAUUUACGACCUACUAGACCGUAUUCCCUUUCAGAAAGACAUACGGCGGCACGAUAUCUAAGGUGACACACAUACAAGACUCGAUCUACGGUCGGCUUAGGAGGUUUAAUGUUUUCGUGCAAGGGUUAGUACCACAUAAUAUUGCUGCGGAAUUAUCUCAGGGUUACUUCCAUCACACUCCGACAUGCUUUCACUGACCACUCUUCUUCCACGAGAUGUCAGCCCAUGGUCUCAUUUCCACCACGACACACCUUACUCCGAGGUUGUCCACACCAACAUAGCAUACGAGGUAUGAGGCAGUAACCACUCACCACUUGCCUCCCACAAACUUAGCAACAAAAUAUCCAUCACAUGCUCUUAUGCAAGGUAUUAUUUCAUGCAAGAUUUUUAUUAAUAUAAUCUAAAAAUCACGCAAUAGAUGCACCACCACAAACAUCACCCAACUUUUUGCUAAUUUGAGUUCAAGAUGCUUGCCUUUGGAGUUUGAGGAGGGUAAGGUGGACCCGAAAAUCUUGGAAAAAGCCUCCUCUCUCCAUGUACUAUUUUGAAAGUAUUUGAAUUAACACGCAAACACAAAACAUCACACAAAAGUUGUUUGAAUAUUUUUGAAAUAAAUAUGUAAAUAAACUAAGGGCAAUUUGAAAGAAGUAGGAAAAUAAUCAGUCCAUUUGGAGUUUUCUAUAAAACGUUAGAGCCAUUUUAAGUUUAUGUUUAAUUCUGUUUUAAAACAAUCACAAAAGAAAAUGCUUCGAUCGGGAACACGCUUUCCAUCGGAGAAACGCUACGGGCUAGCUACGCUAUGAAGGGAAGAAGGCGCACUCACCGCGUUACAACUUCUCUGGAGAGAAGCGCAUAGACACGGCUGCGUCAUCGAGGCCGAGGCUUGCCUCGCUGACAGGCGGGGCCCGCAUGUUGGGUUUUCCCCUUCCUCCUCUCGCGCGUAGGGGACAGGGACAGGGCCAGGGAGAUUUCCAGCGACGCUCACAGGUGGCACAGGGCACCAUCCUUGAUGCUUGACCCAUCCACGAGCUCUGGAGGAUGAGUCGCACCACGUGGAGGGUAGAGGAGCACCCGGUGUGCUCCGUCUAGGCACGACUUAGCUCAUGGCGGACGGAGGCGUCGGGCAGGAGGGGAACUCCGGCUAGGGUGGUUCCCGGGCCAAAAUUGGUGUGGGGAUUGAUUUGCGGUGGCUGAGGGAGGCUAGAUGUGGCUACAGAAGAGCAGCCGGACUCGGGGCAGCCCGAAUUUACGCAGAGAUGGCUGACGGUGCUGCGGCGACAGGGAGGGCAAGAUGAGGGGCUCUGAUCGAAUUUGCGCAAGGGGGAGCGAGCUGCGAGUCGGAGGGGGCUGGUGAGACGCUCGGAAGGCUCUAGUCAACCCUUUUAUAGUCGAGCAACGACGGUUCCGCGGCAGCUACGGAUAAGCACGCCGGCAACAGACUCUGGCGAUGGUUCAGGUGCACAAGGGUGGCACGGGGCUCAGCAGGGUCGGCAGUAGCUAGAGGAUGAUUCAAAGGGAAGGACCACGAGCAGCUGGCGCACUGGAGGAACUCGAGCAGCGCCGACCACUACAGCAGCAAAGAGGACGUCGGCCAGAUGCCACGGCUAUUGCGCCGCUGAGGUACUACGCGUGCAGAGUGGUGGCAACUACUGGUCGGGGAGGAGCGGUGACGUGACUCUGCAGCAGACCAAAAGGGCAAGGUGUGCAUGGACGCGGCGGCUUGGCACACACGCGUGCCAAACGUGCGCUCUGGGUGCCCCCAAAGCACGCACCAAGGUGUUCGACGCAAUGCCCAGCACUACCACACACAUCCAAGAUUGCUUAGACUUACCAGGCUCGAGUUAUGGGUUAAGGCCAAUGCGAUGGACAAAGACUUAGGGUUAGUGGAGCAACUCUGAAGUGCAGUACAAGCUCAUGCCAAAUCUGGCCAUGCACCAAAGGUGCUUGAUGAAAUGCCAUGCGCUUCAGUUGAGCUUUUCUGCAACCCAAAAACUCCAGAUCAUACUCUCCCUAGGUGUUAGUUAAGAUGGUCAAUUUAG